UACUUUUAAAUAAGGAAGAGUUUGUGGUGGAUGCCUUGGGUCUGGAAGUCGAUGAAGGACGUGAUUACCUGCGAUAAGCCUCGUAGAGCUGGAAAUAUGCUAUGAAACGGGGAUUUCCGAAUGGGGAAACCUAACUAUGGUAAUGCAUAGUUGCUUAUGUCUGAAUACAUAGGACAUAAAGCGAGAUACCUUGUGAACUGAAACAUCUUAGUAGCAAGAGGAAAAGAAAAUAAAUAAUGAUUUCUUUAGUAGCGGCGAGCGAACGAGAAAGAGCCCAAACCAUUUUAAAUGGGGUCAUAGGACAGACUACAUAGAGUUACAAAAUUUAAUAAUAGCAGAAGCUUUUGGGAAGAAGCGGCACAGAAGGUGAUACCCCUGUAUGCGAAAUUAUUAAAUCUCUUGACUGUAUCCUGAGUAGGGCGGGGCACGUGAAACCCUGUCUGAAUUUGCCGGGACCACCCGGUAAGGCUAAAUACUAACCAGACACCGAUAGCGAACUAGUACCGUGAGGGAAAGGUGAAAAGAACCCCGAGAGGGGAGUGAAAUAGACUCUGAAACCACUUACUUACAAUUAGUCAGAGCCCGUUAAUGGGUGAUGGCGUACAUCUUGCAGUAUGGACCGGCGAGUUACUUUAGCAUGCAAGGUUAAGCAGAUAAAAGCGGAGCCGUAGAGAAAUCGAGUCUUAAUAGGGCGAUUAGUAUGCUUGAGUACACCCGAAACCAGGUGACCUAUUCAUGAGCAGACUGAAACUUAGCUAACCCUAAGUGGAGGGUCGAACCGUAGUACACUAAAACGUGCCCGGAUGACUUGUGAAUAGCGGAGAAAUUCCAAUCGAACUUGGAGAUAGCUGGUUCUCCUCGAAAUAGCUUUAGGGCUAGCGUGUAGUGUUAAAUAAUGGUGGUAAAGCACUGAAUAUGGAAUGGCCUCGCCUAGGGGUACUGACUAUAAUCAAACUCUGAAUACCGUUAUGAAUUGCUAUGCAGUCGGAACCGGGGUGCUAACGUCCCGGCUCGCGAGGGAAACAACCCAGAUCGUCAGCUAAGGUCCCAAAAUCGUGUUAAGUCAGAAAGGUUGUGAGGUUUCAUAAACAACUAGGAAGUUGGCUUAGAAGCAGCCAUCUUUUAAAGAGUGCGUAAUAGCUCACUAGUCAAGAGACCUUGCGCCGA
This 1167-nucleotide ribosomal RNA is filed under the name Mycoplasmopsis bovis. RNAcentral's name for it is "partial 23S ribosomal RNA". It matches the Rfam family "Bacterial large subunit ribosomal RNA", at positions 1 to 1167 of the family's 2925-position model. The record is from RNAcentral. Lineage: Bacteria; Bacillati; Mycoplasmatota; Mycoplasmoidales; Metamycoplasmataceae.